Molecule: ribosomal RNA, 211 nt
Filed under: uncultured bacterium
Lineage: Bacteria
Description: partial 16S ribosomal RNA
Rfam family: Bacterial small subunit ribosomal RNA
Source: RNAcentral
UACGGAGGGUGCAAGCGUUAAUCGGAAUUACUGGGCGUAAAGCGUGCGCAGGCGGUUUGUUAAGUCCGUUGUGAAAGCCCCGAGCUCAACUUGGGAAUUGCAGUGGAUACUGGCAGGCUGGAGUACGGUAGAGGAAGGUGGAAUUCCCGGUGUAGCAGUGAAAUGCGUAGAUAUUGGGAGAACACCAGUGGCGAAGGCGGACCUUCUGGAC